AUCCUGGCUCAGGAUGAACGCUAGCGACAGGCCUAACACAUGCAAGUCGAGGGGCAGCACAAGGAGCAAUCUGAGGUGGCGACCGGCGCACGGGUGAGUAACACGUAUGCAACCUGCCUGUAAGCGGGGAAUAACCCGUUGAAAGACGGACUAAUACCGCAUAAUACUAAAUUACUGCAUGGUAAUUUAUUUAAACAUUUAUGGCUUACAGAUGGGCAUGCGCAUGAUUAGCUAGUUGGGGAGGUAACGGCUCCCCAAGGCAACGAUCAUUAGGGGUUCUGAGAGGAAGGUCCCCCACACUGGUACCGAGACACGGACCAGACUCCUACGGGAGGCAGCAGUGAGGAAUAUUGGUCAAUGGACGAGAGUCUGAACCAGCCAAGUCGCGUGCAGGAAGAAUUGUCCUAUGGAUUGUAAACUGCUUUUGCAGGGGAAUAAAGUGCAUCACGUGUGAUGUUUUGUAUGUACUCUGCGAAUAAGGAUCGGCUAACUCCGUGCCAGCCGCCGC
This 508-nucleotide ribosomal RNA is filed under the name uncultured bacterium. RNAcentral's name for it is "bacterial SSU rRNA". It matches the Rfam family "Bacterial small subunit ribosomal RNA", at positions 16 to 518 of the family's 1533-position model. The record is from RNAcentral.